AACGAACGCUGGCGGCAUGCCUAACACAUGCAAGUCGAACGAGACCUUCGGGUCUAGUGGCGCACGGGUGCGUAGCGCGUGGGAACCUGCCCUUAGGUUCGGAAUAACUCCCCGAAGGGGGUGCUAAUACCGGUUAAUGUCUUCGGACCAAAGAUUUAUCGCCUUUGGGUGGGCCCUCGUUGGAUUAGCUGGUUGGUAGGGUACAAGCCUACCAAGGCGACGAUGCAUAGCUGGUCUGAGAGGAUGACCAGCCACACUGGGACUGCGUCACGGCCCAGACUCCUACGGGAGGGAGCAGUGGGGAAUAUUGGACAAGGGGCGAAAGCCUGAUCAAGCAAUGCCGGGUGAGUGAUGAAGGCCGUAGGGUUGUAAAGCUCUUUGACCCGGGAUGAUAAUGACAGUACCGGGAGAAUAAGCACCGGCUAACUACGUG
RNAcentral lists this ribosomal RNA (433 nucleotides) under uncultured bacterium. RNAcentral's name for it is "partial 16S ribosomal RNA". It matches the Rfam family "Bacterial small subunit ribosomal RNA", at positions 29 to 507 of the family's 1533-position model. The record is from RNAcentral.